AAUACUAUUUAGAUAAUAUAAAUACAAAUUUAGAGAGAAAGUAAUUCAGAAAAUAAAAGUCCAGAAACACUUAUAAAAAUAAGACACUUUGUGUCAGGUCCGAAGAUGGCCCUCAGCUGUGAAGUUAGCGGGAGCGACCCUGUUCCUGCUACAGUGGCUCUGACCACGUUCACUCCCAGGCUGCCGUUCAUCUGGAAGAGAUGGUCUAAGAAAGAAUGCCGCCGAAGCACUGGAUUCUGUCCUCGCGAGUGAACACCAGGCACAGGGUUCAGAUGAUAGAAGUAGGGAAGCAGGAAUAGACAGAAUUCCAGAUAUGAAGAACUGAAACUAGAAGAAUCCACUCAGCCUGGUAAGCCUGUACCUAUACUUUCACCUAUUCCAGAUUCAUCAUAUCCCCAAAGCACUGAGGCCAAACAGUUUGCCCCAAGAAAUAAAAUCCCAGAUGAAGCAACAGGUUUUUGAGAGAGAAGACUGGAAGGAAAUAUUUGCAGAAUAUUACUGUGGAUAAAAUGAGAGUUCCUGUGGCCAGGAUUCUCUCACCUGGACCUGGUCAACUAGCUCACUACACACAUGUUAAUGCUUGUUGUUAUUGACUCUAUAUAAAGGGCCCUGCCCAGUGCUUUGGGUGACACGGUGGCACGGCUGCAAGGCUGCAGGAGAGCAGAGGCUGGAGUGGUGGCAGCACCGAGGACACAGGCCCAGAGGACCAGCUGUGCGGGCAGAGAGGC
This is a long non-coding RNA of Manis pentadactyla (Chinese pangolin), 728 nucleotides long. RefSeq lists it as uncharacterized. The record is from RefSeq and is a predicted model, not a curated record. The transcript is spliced from 3 exons. NCBI's taxonomy places the organism in Eukaryota, Metazoa, Chordata, Mammalia, Pholidota, Manidae.